CCUACGGGCGGCAGCAGUGAGGAAUAUUGGUCAAUGGACGAGAGUCUGAACCAGCCAAGUAGCGUGAAGGAUGACUGCCCUAUGGGUUGUAAACUUCUUUUAUAUGGGAAUAAAAUGUUCCACGUGUGGGCUUUUGUAUGUACCAUAUGAAUAAGGAUCGGCUAAAUCCGUGCCAGCAGCCGCGGUAAUACGGAGGAUCCGAGCGUUAUCCGGAUUUAUUGGGUUUACAGGGAGCGUAGGUGGAUUGUUAAGUCAGUUGUGAAAGUUUGCGGCUCAACCGUAAAAUUGCAGUUGAAACUGGCAGUCUUGAGUACAGUAGAGGUGGGCGGAAUUCGUGGUGUAGCGGUGAAAUGCUUAGAUAUCACGAAGAACUCCGAUGGCGAAGGCAGCUCACUGGACUGCAACUGACACUGAGGCUCGAAAGUGUGGGUAUCAAACAGGAUUAGAUACCCCAGUAGUC
Molecule: ribosomal RNA, 460 nt
Filed under: uncultured bacterium
Lineage: Bacteria
Description: partial 16S ribosomal RNA
Rfam family: Bacterial small subunit ribosomal RNA
Source: RNAcentral